AUGGCGUCGAGCAGGGCGAUCUUGGCCAUGGGCCUCCUUGCCGCCGUGCUGUCCCCCGCCUUGUCAACGCGGUCGUUUAUCUCCAUGCCAGCCGACGUGAGUAGUCCUGUGACCCUGGCCAACGGCCUCUCCUACGGCUACCACGCCAACUCCUGCCCACAGCUGCAAGACAUCGUGUGGCCGAUCGUGGAGAGCGCGGUCCUGGGUGAGGUGGCCAUCGCCGCCGGCCUCCUCCGUAUCUUCUUCCACGAUUGCUUUCCUCAGGGCUGCGACGCGUCCGUCCUUCUGACGGGACCCAACAGCGAGCGGGACCUGCCGCCGAACCAGACGCUGCAGCCGCGUGCGAUGCAGCUCAUCGAGGACGUCCGCGUCAAGGUACACGCCGCCUGCGGCGCCACCGUCUCCUGCGCCGACAUCAUCGCCCUCGCCACCCGCGACGCCGUCUUCGUGGCCGGGGAAAGCGAAAUGUUCUACUUCUACGACCUGCCGCUCGGCCGGUUUGACAGCCUCGAGCCGGCUAAUAGCAGCGCCGUCUUCGACCUCCCGCAGUCCACCGCCGACGCCAACACGCUCAUCAACGCCUUCAAGAGCCGCAACCUCGAGCCGAUCGACCUCGUCGCGCUCUCUGGCGCGCACACCGUCGGGAAGGCGCAGUGCAGCUCCUUCAACAACCGCUUCUCCGAGGACGCCGACUUCGCCCGGAGGCUCGCCGCCAACUGCUCCAGCGACCCGAACCGGCUGCAGGACCUCGACGUGGAAACCCCCAUCGUGUUGGACAACCAGUACUUCAAAAACCUGAUGGAGGGAAAGGGGGUGUUCACCUCCGACCAAGUGCUCAUCAGCGACGGGCGCACCGACUGGGCGGUCAAAGGCCUCGCCGAGAACAAAUAUUGGUUCUACAGCCAGUUCCGUGACUCCUUGGUGAAGCUGAGUCAGUACCAACCCGGAGGAAACGUGGGCGAGAUCCGCCGCAACAGCUGCUUCGCGCCCAACGGACGGAGCAUUCCCGCCACCGCCGGUGACGAGGGGUUCGCAGCCUCUGCUUGA
RNAcentral lists this ribosomal RNA (1047 nucleotides) under Triticum aestivum (bread wheat). RNAcentral's name for it is "partial small subunit ribosomal RNA". Lineage: Eukaryota; Viridiplantae; Streptophyta; Magnoliopsida; Poales; Poaceae. The record is from RNAcentral.